UAAAUCAUGGUAAUACCCAAUGAUAUAACUACUUUGGUUGGAAUUGGGUUAUUUAUUAACAAGCUACUAGAACUUGGCUUGUCAAAAGUGAGUGACUAAUACUUUACAUGGUUGCAAAAAGAUUAAUUGGGUGAAAAGUCUUGAGGCUGCCGAAAUGAGUGAGAAGGAGAUAAAAUAAAUAAAAAAAAAACUUCAUAAGGCUGCCGAAAUUAAGUGGAAAUAAUAACAUGGCUGCCAAAAUAA
This 243-nucleotide long non-coding RNA is filed under the name Panax ginseng (ginseng). RNAcentral describes it as "long non-coding RNA (PGIN_LNC001072)". Lineage: Eukaryota; Viridiplantae; Streptophyta; Magnoliopsida; Apiales; Araliaceae. The record is from RNAcentral.